ACUUUACAAUGUUUAUAUAUGCUUGAGAUAUUAAAUUUCAUUCUUUAUUUUUAUCUCCUAACUGCUGAAUAUACAACUUAAUCUGCAGCUAUCUGCACCAGCAUACAAGUCUUCAGCUCUUAAGCUUACUCUAUUUAUUAUAUUGCUAAUUGGACGUGUAACAAGCCAUAUGGCUCAACGAGGUUACCCUCCCAGCAGCAGCAGAUCUACUGGUUGAGUGCUUAGGAGAAGUAGCAUUGAAAUAUGCUUGGAAGAAGUCCUUAUUCUCUUUGAGCAACUCUUUCCAAACUGUAAGA
Molecule: unclassified non-coding RNA, 296 nt
Filed under: Hevea brasiliensis (rubber tree)
Lineage: Eukaryota; Viridiplantae; Streptophyta; Magnoliopsida; Malpighiales; Euphorbiaceae
Source: RNAcentral